This 497-nucleotide ribosomal RNA is filed under the name uncultured bacterium. RNAcentral describes it as "partial 16S ribosomal RNA". It matches the Rfam family "Bacterial small subunit ribosomal RNA", at positions 28 to 507 of the family's 1533-position model. The record is from RNAcentral.
GAUGAACGCUGGCGGCGUGCCUAAUACAUGCAAGUCGAGCGAACAGACGAGGAGCUUGCUCCUCUGACGUUAGCGGCGGACGGGUGAGUAACACGUGGAUAACCUACCUAUAAGACUGGGAUAACUUCGGGAAACCGGAGCUAAUACCGGAUAAUAUCUUUAAACGCAUGGUUCAAUAGUGAAAGACGGUUUUGCUUUCACUUAUAGAUGGAUCCGCGCCGCAUUAGCUAGUUGUUAAGGUAACGGCUUACCAAGGCAACGAUGCGUAGCCGACCUGAGAGGGUGAUCGGCCACAUUGGAACUGAGACACGGUCCAGACUCCUACGGGAGGCAGCAGUAGGGAAUCUUCGGCAAUGGGCGAAAGCCUGACGGAGCAACGCCGCGUGAGUGAUGAAGGUCUUCGGAUCGUAAAACUCUGUUAUUAGGGAAGAACAAAGGUGUAAGUAAAUAGGCACGUCUUGACGGUAACUAAUCAGAAAGCCACGGCUAACUACGUG